This 986-nucleotide ribosomal RNA is filed under the name Streptococcus salivarius. RNAcentral describes it as "bacterial SSU rRNA". It matches the Rfam family "Bacterial small subunit ribosomal RNA", at positions 1 to 946 of the family's 1533-position model. The record is from RNAcentral. Lineage: Bacteria; Bacillati; Bacillota; Bacilli; Lactobacillales; Streptococcaceae.
GAAAAUGAGAGUUUGAUCCUGGCUCAGGACGAACGCUGGCGGCGUGCCUAAUACAUGCAAGUCGAGCGAGCUUGCCUAGAUGAUUUUAGUGCUUGCACUAAAUGAAACUAGAUACAAGCGAGCGGCGGACGGGUGAGUAACACGUGGGUAACCUGCCCAAGAGACUGGGAUAACACCUGGAAACAGAUGCUAAUACCGGAUAACAACACUAGACGCAUGUCUAGAGUUUGAAAGAUGGUUCUGCUAUCACUCUUGGAUGGACCUGCGGUGCAUUAGCUAGUUGGUAAGGUAACGGCUUACCAAGGCAAUGAUGCAUAGCCGAGUUGAGAGACUGAUCGGCCACAUUGGGACUGAGACACGGCCCAAACUCCUACGGGAGGCAGCAGUAGGGAAUCUUCCACAAUGGACGAAAGUCUGAUGGAGCAACGCCGCGUGAGUGAAGAAGGGUUUCGGCUCGUAAAGCUCUGUUGGUAGUGAAGAAAGAUAGAGGUAGUAACUGGCCUUUAUUUGACGGUAAUUACUUAGAAAGUCACGGCUAACUACGUGCCAGCAGCCGCGGUAAUACGUAGGUGGCAAGCGUUGUCCGGAUUUAUUGGGCGUAAAGCGAGUGCAGGCGGUUCAAUAAGUCUGAUGUGAAAGCCUUCGGCUCAACCGGAGAAUUGCAUCAGAAACUGUUGAACUUGAGUGCAGAAGAGGAGAGUGGAACUCCAUGUGUAGCGGUGGAAUGCGUAGAUAUAUGGAAGAACACCAGUGGCGAAGGCGGCUCUCUGGUCUGCAACUGACGCUGAGGCUCGAAAGCAUGGGUAGCGAACAGGAUUAGAUACCCUGGUAGUCCAUGCCGUAAACGAUGAGUGCUAAGUGUUGGGAGGUUUCCGCCUCUCAGUGCUGCAGCUAACGCAUUAAGCACUCCGCCUGGGGAGUACGACCGCAAGGUUGAAACUCAAAGGAAUUGACGGGGGCCCGCACAAGCGGUGGAGCAUGUGGUU